RNAcentral lists this long non-coding RNA (434 nucleotides) under Lathyrus oleraceus (garden pea). Its description in RNAcentral is "Pisum sativum (pea) long non-coding RNA (PSAT_LNC020819)". Lineage: Eukaryota; Viridiplantae; Streptophyta; Magnoliopsida; Fabales; Fabaceae. The record is from RNAcentral.
UAUCUUUGGUUUAACCACUUGUGCUUGGCUUCUUCACUUUAAUGUCAACAUGGUCACACCUUGAAGCUUUGGAAUCCUGCUUUGCCAAUUAACUUCCAUCAUGCUGCAUUUGCCCUGCUAUACCAACCUGCUGCAACGCCUAACCUGCACAGACCAAAGUCAUGACCAACAUAAAAUCCAAGCCAUAAAGUAAAGCCAUUCAUCUACCACAAUGUCAUAUAGCGCUGAUGGAACAAGAUUGUUUUCGUGUGGCUCAAAUAAAGAAGGGGAGUCAUUUCUAGUUGAAUGGAAUGAAAGUGAAGGAGUUGUGAAGCGUACAUAUCAUGGUCUUGGGAAAAGAUCUGUAGGUGUUGUGCAAUUUGAUACCACUAAGAAUAGGUUCUUAGCUGCUGGUAACACAUCAAAUUUGGGAGCAGCUAAUACACCACAAGAUU